Molecule: non-coding RNA, 30 nt
Filed under: Homo sapiens (human)
Lineage: Eukaryota; Metazoa; Chordata; Mammalia; Primates; Hominidae
Also listed under: 2 other names
Source: RNAcentral
AGAGUAGUGGACAGAAGGGAUUUCUGAAAA